CAGGGAUGGUCUUGUAGCUGCUCGACACUUGCAUCACUUUGGUUAUCCAAAAUGAAAUACUAAACCUCCUUUUGCUGGUUUAGUCACCCAGGUUUAGAUACAAUGGUAAGUGAAAAGCAAGCCAAAGCCAAGGCUACUGCAAAGCCUUUUCACUUCCACCCGAUCUACUAAGAAACGAAUUCAGAGUGAGGCAGUAUCGGGAAGUCUAGCCAAAGGCAAGCAAGUUGCUGAGAGUUUCAUGAGACCACCAAAGAGGUCUUGGCCGGAAAUUGAAUUCAGCAAUGACAAGGCUAGAACCACGGGCGGACCCACAUGGUGUCAGGGGUUCAGUUGAACCAGCUUUGUCGAAAUAUUAUACAUACGGCGUAUAUGGAUAUAUUACGUUUAACAGAGGAAAAUUACUACUAUAAAAAAAUGUUUGAACCCGCUUUAACACAAGCAUGCUCCCAGUGGAGGUCGAGCGGGUUUAAAGUGUGAGAGAGGUGCUAGGAUCGAAUCCAAUUUGGGGCGUUUCCCAAUUUGUUUUUUAAUCCAUACUUGAAUGGAGUGUGUGCAGCUGAAGGCCAAGACCAUUUUUGUUUCAAAUUAAACAUCAUCCUUCAAAUUUAUUA
Nicotiana tabacum (common tobacco) is the source of this 611-nucleotide long non-coding RNA. RefSeq lists it as uncharacterized. The record is from RefSeq and is a predicted model, not a curated record. NCBI's taxonomy places the organism in Eukaryota, Viridiplantae, Streptophyta, Magnoliopsida, Solanales, Solanaceae.